GAUGAACGCUGGCGGCGUGCCUAAUACAUGCAAGUCGAGCGAACGGACGAGAAGCUUGCUUCUCUGAUGUUAGCGGCGGACGGGUGAGUAACACGUGGAUAACCUACCUAUAAGACUGGGAUAACUUCGGGAAACCGGAGCUAAUACCGGAUAAUAUUUUGAACCGCAUGGUUCAAAAGUGAAAGACGGUCUUGCUGUCACUUAUAGAUGGAUCCGCGCUGCAUUAGCUAGUUGGUAAGGUAACGGCUUACCAAGGCAACGAUGCAUAGCCGACCUGAGAGGGUGUGCGGCCACACGGAAACUGAAACCCGGCCCAGCCCCCGGGGGGAGGAAGAAGGGGGAAUUUUUCCGAAAGGGGAAAAGCCCGGAGGGCGCACCGCCGGGGGGGGGAAGAAGGUCUUGGUACCGAAAAACUUUUUUAUGGGGAAAAAAAAUAUGUUAAAGUAACUGUCCACUUCUGCGGGUACCCUAAAAAAAAGCCCAGGUAAACUCCGGCC
RNAcentral lists this ribosomal RNA (497 nucleotides) under uncultured bacterium. RNAcentral describes it as "partial 16S ribosomal RNA". It matches the Rfam family "Bacterial small subunit ribosomal RNA", at positions 28 to 509 of the family's 1533-position model. The record is from RNAcentral.